GACUGGAAGACAAAGGCUCCUAAGACAUGGACAAAAAUUGGCAAAAAUCUUCCCAAUGACUUGCUUGGACUGUUACGGAAUUUGCGCAAUGCACUGGGACAUCAGGAAAAAGAGUUCUAUGAAAAGAAGAUGAUUGAUGAGUUUCCAGAUUUCCUCAUCAGUUUACAUAGACUGGCUGUGGAAAUGGGCUGGGAAUAUUGAAGAUGCUGAGAAAUUGCAUGCAGACACCUGUACAUGGUCUUUCUUUUUGUUUUCAUAGUUUUGAUCAUGUACUUUUUUGGAGGCAAAUAUUUAACUUUUCAGUCUUUUGCUGCCUCAAUUGCUUUACACUUAAUGUUGAUUAUUGGUGUUUUAAUGGUCCCUAAACAUUUUUAAACUCCACAAUAUUGGUUUCAGCUCUAAACUACUGAAGGUGGUUUUUAAAGCCUGCAUAGUGUUGCAAUUUAUGUUUUUAACUAAAGUCAAUAUUGAUAUUUUCAACUUGUUUGCUUGUUGUAUAUUCAUUGACUCAGUGUUGUAAUGCUAAAUGAAUUGCAUUUGUAUAAUGUGAAAGGAUUUGUAAAAACAGUCAAAGAGUGUGUCUUCUGAA
Molecule: long non-coding RNA, 589 nt
Organism: Sinocyclocheilus rhinocerous
Lineage: Eukaryota; Metazoa; Chordata; Actinopteri; Cypriniformes; Cyprinidae
Exons: 3
Source: RefSeq, a predicted model, not a curated record